Molecule: small nuclear RNA, 104 nt
Organism: Loxodonta africana (African savanna elephant)
Lineage: Eukaryota; Metazoa; Chordata; Mammalia; Proboscidea; Elephantidae
Source: Ensembl
GUGCCUGCUUCGGCAGCACAUAUACUAAAAUUGGAAUACAGAGAAUAUUAGCAUGGCUCUUGUGCAAGGAUGACACACAAAUUCGUGAAGCCUUCCAUAUUUUU